UAAAGUGCAUAAUUGACAUUAAAUAUAUAAGGUAUAAAUGCAAAUGAAAUAAAAGAUAUAAGUGUAAAUAAUUUAUUGAAGAUGGAAACAAAAUGACAUAGCUUGAUUUUGAGACUAAAAGAUAAAAAAUGUGAAAGAUAGAGGACUGAUGUAGCAAUUAAUUUGCUUUUAAUUUUUAAAAUUUCGGAUUAAAUUGAAUGUUUG
Molecule: long non-coding RNA, 204 nt
Filed under: Gossypium barbadense (sea-island cotton)
Lineage: Eukaryota; Viridiplantae; Streptophyta; Magnoliopsida; Malvales; Malvaceae
Description: long non-coding RNA (GBAR_LNC022433)
Source: RNAcentral